GUUCCCUAUGAUGUACUAAUUUGACCAUGCUAAUUCUGAUUUUGAUGAAAUUCUUUUUCAGUCGUUUCUGAGGGAACA
Molecule: small nucleolar RNA, 78 nt
Organism: Erigeron canadensis
Lineage: Eukaryota; Viridiplantae; Streptophyta; Magnoliopsida; Asterales; Asteraceae
Product: small nucleolar RNA snoR53Y
Exons: 1
Source: RefSeq, a predicted model, not a curated record